Molecule: transfer RNA, 73 nt
Filed under: Candidatus Aenigmatarchaeota archaeon
Lineage: Archaea; Nanobdellati; Candidatus Aenigmatarchaeota
Description: tRNA-Asp
Rfam family: tRNA
About the family: Transfer RNA (tRNA) molecules are approximately 80 nucleotides in length.
Source: RNAcentral
GCUCUGGUAGUGUAGUGGUCUAGCAUCUGGGACUGUCACUCCCAGGACCCGGGUUCGAAUCCCGGCCAGGGCG